UACAGAGGUGGCAAGCGUUGUUCGGAAUCACUGGGCAUAAAGGGCGCGUAGGCGGCGAGGCAAGUCGGGUGUGAAAUCCCUCAGCUCAACUGAGGAACUGCGCCCGAAACUACCUUGCUAGAGUGCAGGAGAGGAGAGUGGAACUCCUAGUGGAGCGGUGAAAUGCGUAGAGAUUAGGAGGAACGCCGGUGGCGAAAGCGACUCUCUGGCCUGUUACUGACGCUGAGGCGCGAAAGCUAGGGGAGCAAACGGG
This 253-nucleotide ribosomal RNA is filed under the name uncultured bacterium. RNAcentral's name for it is "partial 16S ribosomal RNA". It matches the Rfam family "Bacterial small subunit ribosomal RNA", at positions 524 to 776 of the family's 1533-position model. The record is from RNAcentral.